Danio rerio (zebrafish) is the source of this 1813-nucleotide non-coding RNA. NCBI's taxonomy places the organism in Eukaryota, Metazoa, Chordata, Actinopteri, Cypriniformes, Danionidae. The record is from RefSeq and is a predicted model, not a curated record.
UAUCUACAGUGUGUGUGUGUGUGUGUGUGUGUGUGUGUGUGUGUGUGUGUUGGCAUAUGUGGUUUAUGGAACCAAUUUUCAGGUUUACCCACCAGCAUUAUGAGACCAUUUAGUUUAUGAGACCAUUUUUGGUGGUCUCAUAAACUAAAAAUUUAAGUUGAUAUUAAAAAUGGUUUAAAUGAUGAUUAUUCAUUACAAUGACCUAAAUGAUAAUUAUAAGACUUGUUUCAAAAGUUCACAUUGUUAUUUGGUUAUUAUUACACUUGGUGUGCUUUUUAUGACCUUUACAAAUAUGGUCUUGUAAACCAUGAUGUGUAUGUGUGAUCUUUGAACAGCGCCUCUGUAGGCGGAACUUGGUACUGCACUUCUAUACACACUCGCGCCAAAUCUUACACAAUUUCGCGCCAUACAUUCAAUCGCGGGAAAACGUCCCUCAUGAAGACUGUGGACGUGACAGUCGCGCUUCAAGCAGUGAAACUCACAUCAAACAAUGAAUGAAUGGUGGUAAGAGUCAACGCAGAGGAUUAAAUCCUUUGAAAGAUGCUUCUCAUCAUGUGAGGUUGGGGAAGGAUAAAGACAUGCUUACGUGGAGGUACAUCAGUGACAUCAAAGAGUGUGUCAUGUGGAGGAGUUGACCUUCUCUCCUGUAACAAACAUGAAAAAGCAAAGUCUCUUCAUGAGCCAUUAUCUUUGAAUUCUGAACAGAGUGAGCUUCAAAGAGCGCCUCCAUGAGCCUGUGGCUUUAACCAACAAACAGAGCUGUCUUCUACAGAGUACCUCCCUGAGCCCGUCACUUUGACCAACACAGAGUUGUCUUCUACAGAGUACCUCCAUGAGCCAGUCACUUUGUCAAACACAAACAGAGCUGUCUUCUACAGAGCACCUCCAUAAGCCAGUUGCUUUGACAAACACAAACAGAGCUGUCUUCUACAGAGGAAAUAACAGGUGAAUCUUGACAGAAAUCCAGGAAGCCAGACAGUGAUGGUGGUGAUGGCUCUAGCACUGGCAGAACAACCUACAUGAGAAGACCAUGGACAAAAGCAGACAUAAAGGCUGUAAUGAGUUCAAAAGACUGAUUAUUAUUAUACACAUUUUCAUUUUUUUUCCUUGUCACAGAGUGACAAUAUUUAACCAUUUUCAAACAUGUAAAUUUAAAAAAAAAAAAAAAAACAUGGCCCAGGCCCACUUCUGUUCCAUGCCAGUGCUUCACAGUCCAUCAUCACUCUAGGACAGUCUCUACAUUGCUCUACAGUUUGCCUCUGCUUCUCAACCCAUGUCUGCCACUACUCCACAGUCUGGUACUGCUCCACAGUCCAGGUCCACGUCUGCUUCAUGAGCCUGGGCAAUACCCAUCACACAAAAAUACAUAACCCACAAAUGCAGUCCCUCAGACUAAACAUUUACAACAGUGUCGAGUAGCAAAAAGACAUGAUUUUUGUUUUUUAUUUACAUGUUUGAAAAUGGUCAAAUAAUGUCACUGUGACAAAAAAGUGAAAAUGUGUAUGAUAAUAAUUAGCCACAUUAUAACACAUUAUAUUACUGUCACAUUACGAAAUUUAGUUUUUAAUCUGUUUUGUGUUCAUAUAAUUCUGUAUGUAUCAUUCAAUUUGUGGAAUCAAACUUUUAUGUCUAGUUUUAUCUUUUUUUCUUUUUAUCUAUCUUUUUAUCUGUUUUUAUCCAUCUAAUUUUUGUUCUUGUCAGAGCGAUAAUAGUUUAUGCAUUUCAUAAUAAAAUGUAUAUACAUGCUUAAUUGCCCUGCUGUUUUCCUGGACUUCAAAAAUAAAAUAAAAAAAGAUUUUUUUUUUUUCUGUCA